UUAAGUUGGCGAUAAGGUUAUUAAAUUCGUUAGGAUUUAAAUUAAAAAACGUUUAAAACUGUUUGAAAAUUUAAUUUCAUCAUUGAACACUUUUAUAUUGGUUUUAUCUUCAUCAUGGUUGUAGGAGAUAUCAUGGAGAAUAUUCUCUAAUUUCUCCUUUGGCAGGUCGAAGCACGAUGCCCUUGGCCGAAGGAGUGUAAUUGUUUUCCCAUAAAGAUUUAUUUAAAACUCUUCCAAAUAAGAAAAAAGCAUUCACCGAUAAGUAGCACAGCAAUAUGGCCAGGAUUUUUUUAGCAACUGAGAAUUUCGAAUAGAAUUGGUAAACCCAUUUUCCGGUUACGUGUUUAAUUGUAAGAACCCAUAUGGUAUAUAAAAGAAUAUACGCGAAAAUAAUUAUGGCACAAUACGAUGCGUUCGGAGACGGACAUUUACAUAUCACGAUGUCGAUGAUUUGUAAAAUUAUCUCGUUGGUCGUACAUAUGUGCACUAGCCAUAGAGGAAGCUUUUCUUGCCCGUUGUAAUAAUAUUGACUGGCUGCCACCGAGAUGUAAAAGAGCCAAAAAGUACACCCUGAGCUGAUUGUUAAGGGAAACGUCACACUGGAUCUCAUGUAACCUUGAAAUUUCGCCAAAUUCUUCGGAGUGUCAGGAAGUUUUUUAACUAUCCUCAAAAUAUCCAUGGACAACGCAAACGCACAGUAGAUCAUCUGUAAAGUAUUACACCAAGUCACGAGAUAUUUGAAACUGUAGCCGAAUCUAUCGAAAUAGGAGUUGGCCAUCUUGUAAGACACCCUGAAAUGUACGAAGACCGCCGUCGACGAAUUGAUCGUAGCAACGGUGUGAAGAAUUGUGGACAGAACGAGGUAAACUUUUGGAUGCCGUUCUGCAUAUUCAACUUCCAUCCUUCGAAACAAUGGAGAAUUUCAAAGACUUCCAAACAUUACAACACAUUACAACAACUGCUUUUUAUUCCAAAAAUAAAAACAUCUGAUAUGUAAUCAAUUUUCAAAGUUGUAAUAAUAAAUAGGUUUAAUUGAUUUUUAAGAUAGAUACAAAACGAAUUGUUAUAUUAUCAAGCGACCUCUAGAAACACUUUUUCUCUAAAUCGAAUAAAAUCUACCCGCAUGACUUGCCAGACUCGCGUAUGUGAUAGGCCUUCGCGUCGUUAAGUCUAACGAAUUACUACCGCAACAGACCCAAGAUUCUGAAUGGACUCCUGAAAGAGCACUGCCGCCUAAGAGGGACAGGUACCUGAUUACAGUAGACAGAAGAAACAGUGUGCAGAUUUGCCUGAAAGAGGAGGAGGCCGCAGAACAUUUUAUGCGAAGGUGUAGAUUAAAUUUGUAGAUUCUUGUAACUAGGAGAGGAAAGCCACAAGCAAGAUCCUACACUAAAGAACCGCUCGCAAAGCUAUGCAUGUGGAUUUACUUUAUCAUUUUUUCGUAUACUUUAUCAUCUACUUUACUUAAUAUCAUGCAUUAAAACAAAGUUGUCUUCAAUAAAUAGAGCGAAUGGGACCACAGCUUUUAGAAGAAUUCAACUCAAUGACAGUCUAGCAUCCAUUCUGUAUGAUGAUCAGUUCGGUACGGAUAUGAACGUUCAUUCCACCCCAUGUCAUAACUGACUGUUUUUGAAAAGACUGUGACUCACGCUUGGCGCAUGAAGCAAAGCGUUCUCCACACACGGGUUCAUAUUGCCCCAAACCAAACAAGCAUUCAUCAUUGAAGAGAACAGCCACCCCAUUCCCCAUUAAUCAGAUAUACAAGCGAGACGCUAAUUUGCGAAUAGUCGCCUUUCUAUUUGAUGCCUCUCCACUAGUAAAGAAUCUGAUGCGGGACGUCUAGAGACUAGGCUAUUCUCAUGAAGCUUUCUUUCGGUUUUAAACUCACCCUCACAUUACGGACCGUUUAGAGUUGACUACCUAACAAGGAGGCAAUUAAAUUACAGCUCCUUAGUGAGAUGAAUAGCAAUAAAACGAUCGUUUCUAGCCGUCUUACAUCACGAUUGACCAAGACCCCUACGGUGGCUCUAAACCUUUGUAGAGCGGGGCAAACAAACCUUGGGCUAUGUAACGGUCGCUACGCGACUUGAUCAAAGCAUCUGUCCGGGAGAAAUCUCGACUUAAAAACCAUGCGUUUAAGUUUAAAUAAAAA
Molecule: long non-coding RNA, 2152 nt
Filed under: Cimex lectularius (bed bug)
Lineage: Eukaryota; Metazoa; Arthropoda; Insecta; Hemiptera; Cimicidae
Description: uncharacterized LOC106664377, transcript variant X2
Source: RNAcentral